This 21126-nucleotide long non-coding RNA is filed under the name Ananas comosus (pineapple). RNAcentral's name for it is "long non-coding RNA (ACOM_LNC030770)". Lineage: Eukaryota; Viridiplantae; Streptophyta; Magnoliopsida; Poales; Bromeliaceae. The record is from RNAcentral.
AUUGUAUCUCUACCUCAAUCUUCCUCUUAUCCUCCUCCAAAGUAUCCUCCUAUAAUGACAACUACACCGAGUUUGGUCUUUCCUCCUAUGACCGACAUAAAUACUCCAUUUCAAAUUACUCCAUGUCAAAACCCACUAAUCCCAGUAGUCCAUCCCUCUAUCUCAGUAAAACCUUUUUUAUCCUCAGCACCACAAAAACCUACCCUCAAAAGAUAUCCACAGCCAAUUGCCAAACCUUUUAGGCAAAUUGAACCCUCUUCAGAACCAUUACCACACCCUAGUAUAGGAAACACUGAACAAAAACAAGGCGAUCCCAUGAUACUAGAAACAUCUUCUCCCAAAUGUGACAAUUUAGGCGAAAAUGCUUAGCCGCCUGAUUCUGACAUUUUGUACAUUUUUGUAAAUAUUUCUUUCAGUUCUGCAGUUUUAAUUGCGCCUUUUCAUUUCGACCUUGUAUUGGACACUGCUAAAAAAAAAAAAAAUUCAGAAAAAAGCAAAAGAGAAAAAUGAAAAAAAAAAAGAUUUUCCAGAGAAAAGUGGAAAUAUGAAGAAGAAGAAAGAAUCUGGAAAUUGAAAAAAUCAAAAGAAAAAAUUGAAAAAAUGGAAAAACAGAAAAAACAAGAGAAAAUUCAAGAAAAGAAAGAAAAAAUCAGAAAAAGAAAAAAGAAAAAAGAAUUAACCCGCUGUGAUCCUUUCACAGGCAAAAAUAAGGGUUUUUUAGUUUAGGGCUUUAAUUUCUGUUCUUUAACCACCUUGUGAUCCAACUCCAUCAUCAAAAGCAAGGUUCCAAAGUCUGUUCCCAAACAGACACCACCAAGUCNUAACGACCAACAUCGUUUCCGGUAGCAAACACACUUUAAUUUAAGUCUUUAAAAAGCUUUCAUUUAAAGAAAAAUUUAAAAAAGAUAAAAAUAAAAAAAAUAAAAAAAAAAGAGAAAAAUCACCGUGCAUACCACUUUGCGUAAUUAGCACUAAUUACGCCACUUAAAUUUUAGACCGAAAAAAUUUAUAAAAAAUCUUAAAAAAUCAGAAAUAUUCCCACGAGUCUUUUGCUACCCUUGUCCAGAGUAGCCGACAUAUAGUUUCCCCUCUGUGCAUUUUUCUGUUAGACUUUUACUAUUUGCAAAUAGUAAAUAGUUAAAAAAAAUAAAAUAAAAUAAAAAAAUAAAAAAAAAAAUCCCACGUGAAGCCACUGAAUGCAUAGUUAUCGUGCAUAGUAACUUCGCUAAUUUUCGACAGCAACAUUUCCAGACAAAAAAUACUAGAAAAUCCAGAAAAAUCUUACGAGUAUUUUGCCACCCUUCUUCAGAGUAGGCGAUAUACGGUCUCUCCUGUAAAAAUCUUUCUUUCCUACAAAUCACUAUUUGCAUAGUAACUGUUUGAUAAUUUAUUUGCGUACGCACCAUUUCUACUUAGUAUCCUACGCUAAUUAAGCUUUUUCUAGCUAUAUCAGAAAAAUUCUCAAAAAAUACCCAAAAAAUUGUUAAAAUUUCAACUUUCUCUUUCUUGCACUUAUCCUUUUUAACCGGUAUUUUCACAUACCUAAUUUCCAGUAUAUUACAUAAUCUGACCCAACUCUACUAUUUCCGCAUUUCCCUAAAAAUCCUAAAAAAUCCCAAAAAAUAUUUUAAAAAUCUCUUUUAGGUUUUUGCUUCUUUCAAAGGUUUGUUUUUCCUCAUACCUUAGGGUUUUCAUAAAUAGACUAGGGUUUUUAUAACAACAGACUUGUAGUUUGUGUUUAAGAAUCAUUUCCGCACCUUCUUCUAAACACCUUCUUCUAAACCCUAAACCCUAAACCCUAAACCUUAAACUUGGAACUAGCCAAGCCUAAACUCUCUAGCCCCCUCCCCCCUGUUUGGUAUCAGAGCCAAGACUUUCUUGGUCAAACUUACCGAGACUUUCUUGGUUUCAACUUACUAAACUUACAAAGCCUUUAUUGGUUAAACUAGUUAAGACUUUAGCUUUAUCACUUAGCUAUUUUAAUACAAUCAAUUCAACAGCCUCGUUUUCUUUUAAACAAGACAGAGAAAAGAAACGAAGACAAGUUUUCCUUAAAUACAACCACAUUAUUGAUAAUAGUGAAUGCAACCACAUUAUUGAUAAUAGUAAAUCUCCUUAAGAUUCAUCCUCAAUACCACCAUAUUAUUGAUAAAUAUGGACUUUUCUACAUCAUCUUCCCAAUCUCACAGAUUUUCUAGAUCUAAUUCCUAUAGAUCUGAAGAUAGUGAAUCUACAAUAUCUUUAAGAGCUCCUAAAUCUAGAGCAAGGAACAUAGUUGAAAAAAUAUUUUGUAGACCAAAACCUCUUCCAUUAGUUCCCAGAUCACAGCCCCCUCAACUAGACACAGUUGUAGAUGUUGAUGAUGACAUCGCAAUUUUCCGUACCCACGGGUUACGUCUUAUAAAUCCAGACAUUUUAUAUGAUGACCGACAACGGUAUGUUGAUAAGACUAAAUUUAUAUCUUUUAAGAGUGAAGUAUCAGUUGAAUGUUAUGACGGUCAACACAUUUCUAUACCUCUUGCUGAUGACGAAGUACAAAAAAGUAUUAGAAAGGCAAAUAUAGCACUUAUGCAUAUUGGAUUAAUUGUAAUAGGCAUAAAAGGGCUAGUACGUAAAAAACUAGGAUCUAAAGUACUCUUAAUGCCUUAUGACAAUAGACACAAAAAUAUAAUUGACGCAUCCUUAGGAUGUACUGAAAUAGAUAUGAAUUUUAAUGGUGGAAUAUUUUAUGUCGUUCCGGACUUUCUAAUGCCUUCAAUAGACUUUGCUAAUCAAAUUAAGAUUGGUAUACAAGUUAGAGGAAUAGAUUUAUAUGAAGGACAAAACUUUAGAAACUUACAAGUUUGCAUCGGAUUUACAGGUCUGUUAACACCUACUGCCGAAUCACAUUUUUUAAUGAACCCUUUAGGUGUAGUAGACUUAAUGGGAACACAAGGCAUGAAAUUAAUAGCACCAAUGGAAAUAGAUGCUAAAAAAUAUGCCGGCCUAGAAUGGAAUUUGGAUAAAUUUACACAAAUUAGACAAACAACAAUAGCUCCUGCUGACACUAUUUACUACCAAAAUGAACAAGGAAGGAACUCACUCAGAUUCACAGACUUUGAGACAAUUGAAGAAACAGAAAAUGACAAAGAUAGGACGACACCACUAAUACGAAAAAGAAAUAGUACACCAACCCAACCCGGUGAAUCAAGUACUCAAAGAAGAGAUUUUACUCUAUUACCCCAAGACCAACCACCAAACUUGAAUGUACCUUAUAAUCUAGAAAAACAACCCAAUAUCGAAUAUAAUUUUAUGGAAGAUAAUUAUAUUGACUAUUCUUCUGAAUCUGAACCUGAAGAUGAAGAAGAUGAAGAAUUUAGUGAUGAAGAAGAAAACCGUCUGAUAGAACAAAUCAGGCUAAAAAGACAAUUAAGAUCUGAAAGAGAUAAAAAAUUAGGAUAUACUAAACAAGAUGACAAGUUUAUCUAUAACCUAAGAGACGAAAUAAGAGAAAUAAACUUAGCAGAAGAAGGAGAAGGAUCUAAUCCUCCUGAAACACAGACUCCUCCACCAUAUCAUGUUGAACAUCCAUUAUCCACUCCUCCAACUCCACAAAGACCUCCUAGACCUCAAACAACAAAUCCUGGUUAUUCUCAUAUACCAUACUAUGAUACAGUUAGGAUGCCAGCAGAAACCUACAACACUGGUAAUUUUCCUAGACAUAGCAUCUCCUCAGCCCCAGAAGAACAAAUCUAUCCUUAUGGUCGCAAUGUUAGAUCUUAUGGCAAAAAAUAUCCUUUUGAAAAUCCUGUUAAUUUACAAGAAGCAGGAUCUGGAAAAAUAUUAAACAUUGCUGCUCAUGACCCCCAAACUUGGGAUUCUAUAAUAGACAUUUGGAAAGGUUUAGUUGUAGCGGAUUAUAUUCGUAAUCAACACUACAUGAAUACUGAUAAUGCCGAGGAAAUGUAUAAAUAUUUAGAGACUUUUCUAGGCGAAUCCACUAAAGGAAUGUGGGAACAAUAUAAAAUUCAAUAUGAAGAUGAAUUCAGACAUCUAUUAACACUAGGAUGUAAUCCUUGUAAUUUCACAAACAAAGUUCAUUCUCUCAUUACAGGCCAAGACCCUAAUUCUGGCCAAUUACUCCUACAAAAUCAAGCUCUUAUAAGCCUAGAACAACUUAGUAUUUCAACCUGGUUCCCUAUAAAAGACUUUCUACAAGCAUACUUAUAUUAUGCAAGUAUAAGUGGGAAUGCUUUUAGCCAAGACAUAGGACGAAAAUUAUUCUUAAAACUUCCAGGAGCCCUAGGCAGAGAAAUCCAAGACAGAUGGGAUACAAUGGAAAAAAAAACUAUAAGGCAAAACCCAGAUACUAAAUGGUCCAUAGGACAGAGUAAAAUUCAUAAUGAAUAUACUACAAGAGAAAUGUGCCAACAUACAAAUCACAAAACAACUAAAAAACAAUGAAUACUCUUUCUGUAAAAGUGUUGUGUAUACUCCCCAACAGUAUAGAAACCCAUUUUAUGAAACUCCAAAGAAAAAAUAUAAACAUUACAUCCCUCAAUACAAAGGAUAUAAGACAAGAAUGAAGUAUUCCUUAAGACGAUCAAAAGCCAAAAAGCCCUAUUUAAAUAAAGACAACCAUGUGAGAAAAUAUAAAUCAGACAGAACUUAUAAAAGCAAACUUCUUUGUUAUACAUGUAAUAGUCCAGGGCAUUUUGCAAAUGCAUGUCCAAGAAGACAACAUAAAAAACCGAAAUGCUUUACUUAUAGAAGAUACUGGCGAAACCCUGUUAGCAGUAGAUGAAUUUGUAUCAGACACCGAAACUAUUUACUCCAUUGAAAAUAAUAUAGUCUACGAAAAAGAAAGUGAAAAAGAAUCCUCCUCUGAUGAAGACAAUAAUAACUAUAAUACUUUUAUCUCAAAUAUGGUUGAAGGUACUAAGACAAAGCAAAAAGAACAUACAUAUUUUUUUGAAUCUGCAAUGAUUUUUGAAGACCCUGACGAAAACACAUCCAUAACCUCCCCACUAGAGGAAAAAACAUGGACUUCGUUUUCUGACAGUACCACUAUUCUUUUUGAAGGAGUCCAAACUCUAGAAGAACAAAACCCUAAUUGGGAAUUAGCCGCCCGAGACUAUAAAAUUCAAUUAUUAAGACAACGAGCACAAGAAAGAAUAGACAAACGAAUUUGGAAAAUAGCUAUGGAAAUACAAGACCAGAGUGGAUCAAGAAUACGGGAAAUAAUUGAAUAUGAACGCAAGCAAAGAUUGUUAGAUACCAAGGACCAAAAUAAAAUUAUUCAAGAUAUUAGAAUCCUUUUCAACGAUCUUUCAGAACAAGAAGAUAUUAUAAAAGACAUCAGACAUCUCUUUGACAUAUCCCAACCCUCAUUUCAUGACUCUACUAUUUAUGUUAUGACCCUUAUGAAUUUAAAUGAAGAAUGCAGCCAUGAUUGGCAAGAAAGACAAGGAUAUGACCAUAGACCUUGCACAUACUGUAAUUUCUUUCCCGAACGAAAAUUUAGAUGUAAAUGUCGCUUAUGUAAAAUUGAAGCAUGUUCAAUUUGCUUAAACAAAAAGUUUAAUAGACAGAUUACAAAUAUAGAACCUAAAAAGACUUUUGAAAUCGAACAUUUAAAUGCCCAUGAAAAACGAAUUAUAGCUUUAGAAGCCAGAGUCAGCCUUCUGGAAAAACAAGACAAUCCAAGAAAAAACAUUACAAAUAAAGGAAAAGGAAUUGAACUCCGUGAAAAUAUGACAGAACUAUCCGAAUAUUUUGAAGAAGAAAAUUUACGGGUAUAUGAAGAUAGUUACAUUUGUAACGAAGGAUUAAAACUACGAAGUCUUAUUGUUCCGUGUAAAAUACAAAUAGGAAACAAAGACUUUGAAACAGAAGCAGUAAUAGACACUGGCUGUACGACCUGUUUAAUACAUACAGAUUUAGUCCCUUUAAAUUACCGAAAGACAGCAAAAGAACCAACAAGUGGUAUCCAAAUGGACGGUACUGCCCAUAAAUAUACACAAUAUGUUUCUAAUGCAAAAAUUAGCUUCUUAGAUACAUGCAAUACAUUCAAUGAAACCUAUACCAUUCCCAAGGUUUGGUUACGAAAAAUGANCUAAAAAUUUGUGUUUGAUGUUCAGACAACAAUAUUUUUUGGGAAUUCUAUUUUUGGGAUUUCCGCACCUUCUUCUAAACCCUAAACCCUAAACCCUAAAGCUUAAACUUGGAACUAGCCAAGCCUAAACUCUCUAGCCCCUCUUUCCCCCCUUUCCCCUUUCCCCCCUCUUGGUAUCAGAGCAUCGAAAUCACUAUGCUAGAAGGUUAAAUUUAAUUUACUUGUCGUCGAAAUGAUACAAACCUACAGAUAAGUAGGGUUGGCAAAGGCUAGUCUGUACCCAAGGGCUUUUCUUAAGACAUAAACCUUGUUACAUUAAAGCCUAGUUGACCAAUAGUGACCACCCUUCAGGUUUAAUGUACAACAAGAGAUAGCCUUAAGAUAAGUUGAACAACCUUGUGAUUUGGUGCAAGGAAACCAAGAGAUAGCAGGACUAUAAGACGACACCACUAAACUCUCUACCCCCUCUUUUACACAUAAAUGAACUACUUAAAUUAGGAGUUAUAAGAAAAUCAAUAUCCAAACAUAGAUCAACAGCUUUUAUAGUUAUGAAACAUUCUGAAAUAGUACGAGGAAAAAGCAGAAUGGUCAUUAACUACAAAAGACUUAAUGACAAUACAAAAUUCGAUGGCUAUACUAUUCCAGACAAAUCUCAUCUAAUAAAUAGUAUACAAGGUAAAAAGAUUUUCAGUAAAUUUGACUGUAAAUCAGGUUUUUGGCAAGUAAAAAUGGACAAAGAGAGUAUAGAAUGGACAGCUUUUACCUGCCCAGAAGGACAUUUUGAAUGGCUAGUUAUGCCCUUUGGCCUUAAAAAUGCACCUUCUAUUUUCCAAAGAAAAAUGGAUACAAUUUUUAAUGAACACAGAGAUUUUGUUUUAGUUUAUGUCGAUGACAUUUUAGUUUUUAGUAAAAACAUGCAAGAACAUCUAGGACAUCUACAGAUAGUCUUUCAUGAAUUUAUUAAACAUGGGAUUAUUAUAAGUAAAAAUAAAGUUGAACUCUGUAAAAAAUACAUCAAUUUCUUAGGAGUAACUAUUGGUGAAGGAAAAAUAAAAUUACAACCCCAUAUAGCCAAGAAAAUCCUAGACAUGCCAGAUAAACUUGAAACUCUUAAAGAAUUACAAUCCUUCUUAGGAUUAGUAAAUUAUGCAAGAACAUUUAUCAAGGACCUGGGAAAAAUCGCAGGGCCUUUAUAUGCUAAGACUGGAAAAUCAGGACAAAGACAUUUUAAUGCUGAAGACAUAAAAUUGGUCAAACAAAUAAAAGCCCUUGUAUCUGAAUUACCAGACCUAGAUCUUCCGUUAGAUUCUAAUUAUAUUAUCAUAGAAACAGACGGUUGUGAUUUAGGAUGGGGCGCAGUCUUAAAAGCAAGAUCUAAUAAAUAUAGUGACACAAAAGAAGAAAAAUUAUGCGGAUACGCAAGUGGGAAAUAUAGAGAAAGAGGAAAAAUAAGCAGCAUAGAUGCGGAAUUAUUAGCAGUAAUAUAUGCUCUUGAUGCUUUCAAACUAAAUGUUAUUAAUAAACAGGAAAUAACAAUCCGGACAGAUUGUGAAGCUAUUACUAAAUUCUCUCAUAAAAAAGACGAAAAAGCUAGUUCUAGACGCCGAUGGAUUAAUUUUCAAGACAGAAUAUCUAUAAGUCACAUUAAAUUUGAACAUAUUAGAGGAAAAGAUAAUUUUUUCCCUGAUCAAUUAAGUAGAGGAUUUUUUGAAAAUACCACUUUUGAAAUUAACAUGGUACAUAUUGACAUUUCAGAUUCAGACAUUUCAGAUUCAGACAUUUCAGACACAAACAUGGAUCCAAUCAGACAACCUCGGAUAGCCUAUGGCAACGAAAAUCUCAUUUAUUUUUCCCAAAUUAUUUUCCGUUCUCGCAAUCCAAAUAUUUUAUUACCAGACGAACAAAAAUGUUUGAUUGACAAUCUAUGGCUAUGUUACCAUAGGACAUCAAAUCAUCAAGAACCAGACAAAAAAUAUUUUGUUGCCUGCAUAAAUUCCUUAAUAGAAUAUUUUCAGACAGUCAAACCCAAAGACUCUUUCCCUUUCUAUGUGGUACUUCAAGGUUUUAAAACCGGAAUUUUUGAUUCCUGGAUUGAUGUUAUUACCCAGCUUAAAAAUUUUCCUCACCCUCUCUACAAAGGUUUUCAUUCUAUCUCCGAAGCCUUAGACACUGCUCGUACCUACUUUGGUCCAAAUUUUUUUAUCUCCCCCAAUAUUCGCUCUUCUCCACAUAUUCAUGCCUCUACAUCCACCCACAAUCCUGAGAAAAUUAGUUUCUGUGAAAACUGCUCAACAACGGCAACACAGCUCCAAAAACUGAAUACUAUUUGUGAUGACUUGAGAACAAAGGAUCAGAAAAAUAUUCAAAGAAUUGCUGUUCUGGAACAACAGAUCAAAGACCUCAAGAACCCCUCACAACAAGGUAUUGUAUCUCUACCUCAAUCUUCCUCUUAUCCUCCUUCAAAGUAUCCUCCUAUAAUGACAACUACACCGAGUUUGGUCUUUCCUCCUAUGACCGACAUAAAUACUCCAUUUCAAAUUACUCCAUUUCAAAACCCACUAAUCCCAGUAGUCCAUCCCUCUAUCUCAGUAAAACCUUUUUUAUCUUCAGCACCACAAAAACCUACCCUCAAAAGAUAUCCACAGCCAAUUGCCAAACCUUUUAGGCAAAUUGAACCCUCUUCAGAACCAUUACCACACCCUAGUAUAGGAAACACUGAACAAAAACAAGGCGAUCCCAUGAUACUAGAAACAUCUUCUCCCAAAUGUGACAAUUUAGGCGAAAAUGCUUAGCCGCCUGAUUCUGACAUUUUGUACAUUUUUGUAAAUAUUUCUUUCAGUUCUGCAGUUUUAAUUGCGCCUUUUCAUUUCGACCUUGUAUUGGACACUGCUAAAAAAAAAAAAAAUUCAGAAAAAAGCAAAAGAGAAAAAUGAAAAAAAAAAAGAUUUUCCAGAGAAAAGUGGAAAUAUGAAGAAGAAGAAAGAAUCUGGAAAUUGAAAAAAUCAAAAGAAAAAAUUGAAAAAAUGGAAAAACAGAAAAAACAAGAGAAAAUUCAAGAAAAGAAAGAAAAAAUCAGAAAAAGAAAAAAGAAAAAAGAAUUAACCCGCUGUGAUCCUUUCACAGGCAAAAAUAAGGGUUUUUUAGUUUAGGGCUUUAAUUUCUGUUCUUUAACCACCUUGUGAUCCAACUCCAUCAUCAAAAGCAAGGUUCCAAAGUCUGUUCCCAAACAGACACCACCAAGUCCAACUUUCCACCUCCAGAGCAAUUUUUUGGCUUCCUCCAAGCAAGUCCCAAAGCGACACGUGGCCUCCAUUUGGACAAAUAAUAAUCCGACACGUGGACACCACUCAUGCACCAGUUCCAUGCACCAGGUCCACCAAGAAUCCCGGCAAGAAUGACAUUCAAAACCACUACGCCUCAAACCCCCUACGCCUCAGGUUUUUUAAAACCGUGGGCCCACGUCAUCAUUCCACCCAAUACCUCAUCCUGCGAAGCCAUGGUUUUUUUGAAAACCAGGUGCCGCCGCAGUAUUCUCCUCCCAAACCACCUCUUCCUUCGGCUAUAAAGGAAGAAAACCUCCUCCUCCUCUCAGAGCAUCGAAACCUCAGAGCAUCGAAUGCAUAGAGAAAGAAGCAGAGCAAGAAAAAAUCCUACUUAGCCCCUGCCUUAUGAAAAAUUCCGCUGAAGCUUAAAGGAAGAUCAUUUCGACGACAAGUGAAGAAUGAAGCAAGCCUCUUGUUAGAUAUACCAUCCUAGCUCCACAAAUAAUUCCCUAAUGGCCUUUAUUUUCCUAUCCUUCCUGUAAAAAUUAUCUUUUUUCUUAACCGCAUUCUGGCGUGAAGAGUCUGUACAAACAAGUCCUUCUUUCCCCCCGGGAAGUCCCGGAAGGGAAACCUUCUAGCAUUGUGAUGUAAGUUUUAUCUCUUGUUAAUAUUAUAUUUCUCGAACUCUUCUAUCCAUGGCAUUUUCUUUGCCCCAUGAUUCCCUUUCCUUGGACUCUUAAUGAAAAUUUAAGAGGUUCUCUCUGGAUAAUUAUUUCAGCUUAAGCAAGUGUAAAGCAUAUAUGCUUGGCAGAUUUGAUAAGAGAAAAAAUGCUCUGUAAUUUUCGCCAUUGAUAGCCAGAGGUGCUUUGCGGCGUUAGAGCGAGGUUCUCUGAAAACUGUACGCCAAGAGGGUCUUGUGCACCAACACUGUGUCUUAAGUGGUGUUAUCCACAUUAGAAAAUUAAAUUUCAUCAUAAGUCCGAGUUUUAGGAAAAUUGCAUCAUCGAAAAUUUAAUGAGAUAAAGAGUUUUAGAAAUAUAAAAAACAUCUGAAAAAUUUUUAUCUUGAUUUCUAGAAGGGAGUACCAGACGGGACCUACUUUAAAAAAGAUUUGGAAACUUAGUUUAUUUUCUAAAAACGGAAAUUUUAAAUUUGCACUUCAUCCUAUUUUUAUUCAUCCUACAAAUAUCAUUCAAGACAUAUAUUAUUUUCUUUCCGUUCCUCUUUUACUGUGAACUAUCUAUCAAACAAUUUCAUCUAAACAUCCACCUAUCCAUCCCAAUUAAAUUAAUAUUUAAUAACGACCAACAUCGUUUCCGCCUACAAACACACUUUAAUUUAAGUUUUUAAAAGCUUUCUCUUAAAGAAAAGUUUAAAAAGAUAAAAAAAAAAAGAGAAAAAACAACGUGCAUGUCACUUUGCGUAAUUAGCACUAAUUACGCCACUUAAAUUUUAGACCGGAAAAAUUUAUAAAAAAUCUUAAAAAAUCAGAAAUAUUCCCACGAGUCUUUUGCUACCCUUGUCCAGAGUAGCCGACAUAUAGUUUCCCCUUUGCAUUUUUCUGUUUGCAUAGUAAACUUAAAAAGUUAAAAAAAAAAAAAAAAAAAUUUCCACGUGAAGCCACUGUAUGCAUAGUUAUCGUGCAUAGUAACUUCACUAGUUUUCGACAGCAACAUUUCCAGACAGAAAAAAUACCAAAAAAUUCAGAAAAAUCUUACGAGUAUUUUGCCACCAUUCUUCAGAAUAGCCGACAUACGGUCUCUCCUGUAAAAAUCUUUCUUUCUUUCAAAUCACUAUUUGCAUAGUAACUUGCAUAGUAAUUUAUUUACGUACGCACUAUUUCUACUUAGUAUCCUACGCUAAUUAAGCUUUUUCUAGCUAUAUCAGAAAAAUUCUCCAAAAAUACCCAAAAAAUUGUUAAAAAUCCAACUUUCUCUUUCUUGCCCUUAUCUUUUUCAACCGGUAUUUUCUAAUACUUACUUUUCAAUAUAUUACAUAAUCUGACCCAACUCUACUAUUUCCGCAUUUCCCUAAAAAUCCUAAAAAAUCCAAAAAAUAUUUUAAAAAUCCUUUUUAGGUUUUUGCUUCUUUCAAAGGUUUGUUUUUCCUACUAUCUUAGGGUUUUUAUAAAUAGACUAGGGUUUUCUCCAUAAAUCCUAGGGUUUUUAUCUUAAGGGUUUUUUAUAACAACAGACUUGUAGUUUGUGUUUAAAGAUCAUUUCCGCACCUUCUUCUAAACCCGAAACCCUAAACCCUAAACCCUAAACCCUAAACCUUAAACUUGGAACUAGCCAAGCCUAAACUCUCUAGCCCCCCCUCUUUCCCCCCUCUUGGUAUCAGAGCUUAGACUUUCUUGGUCAAACUUACCCAGACUUUCUUGGUCAAACUUACCUAGAAUCUCUUGGUUUCAAGUUACUAAACUUAUAAAGACUUUAUUGAUUAAACUAGUAGAGACUUUAGCUUUAUCACUUAGCUAUUUUACUACAAUCAAUUCAACAGCCUCAUUCUCUUUUAAACAAGACAGAGAAAAGAAACGAAUACAAAUCUUCCUUGAAUGCAACCACAUUAUUGAUAAUAGUAAAAUCUUUUUAACAAUCAUCCUCAAUACCACCAUAUUAUGGAAUUUUCUACAUCAUCAUCUUCUCAAUCACACAGAUUUUCUAGGUCUAAUUCCUAUAGAUCUGAAGAUAGUGAAUCUACAAUAUCUUUAAGAGCUCCUAAGUCUAGAGCAAGGAACAUAGUUGAAAAAAUCUUUUGUAGACCAAAACCUCUUCCAUUAGUCCCCAGAUCACAGACACCUCAACUAGACACAGUUGUAGAUGUUGAUGAUGAUAUCGCAAUCUUCCGUACCCACGGAUUACGUCUUAUAAAUCCAGACAUCUUAUAUGAUAACCGUCAACGAUAUGUUGACAAGACUAAAUUUAUUUCCUUCAAGAGUGAAGUAUCAGUUGAAUGUUAUGACGGUCAACACAUUUCUAUACCCCUUGCUGAUGAAGAAGUACAAAAAAGUAUUAGAAAGGCAGAUAUAGCACUUAUGCAUUUAGGAUUAAUUGUAAUAGGCAUAAAAGGCCUGGUACGUAAAAAACUAGGAUCUAAAGUACUCUUAAUGCCUUAUGACAAUAGACAUAAAAAUAUAAUUGACGCAUCCUUAGGAUGUACAGAAAUAGAUAUGAAUUACAACGGUGGAAUAUUUUAUGUAGUUCCAGACUUUCUAAUGCCUUCAUUAGACUUUGCAAAUCAAAUUAAGAUUGGUAUACAAGUCAGAGGAAUAGACUUAUAUGAAGGACAAAACUUUAGAAACUUACAAGUUUGUAUUGGAUUUACAGGUCUGUUAACACCCACUGCCGAGUCACAUUUUUUAAUGAACCCCUUAGGUGUAGUAGAUUUAAUGGGAACACAAGGCAUGAAAUUAAUAGCACCAAUGGAAAUAGAUGCUAAAAAAUAUGCCGGCCUUGAAUGGAACUUGGAUAAAUUUACACAAAUUAGACAAACAACAAUAGCUCCUGCUGAUACUAUUUACUACCAAAAUGAACAAGGAAGGAACUCACUCAGAUUCACAGACUUUGAGACAAUUGAAGAAACAGAAAAUGACAAAGAUAGGACGACACCACUAAUACGAAAAAGAAAUAGUACAUCAACUCAACUCGGUGAAUCAAGUACCCAAAGAAGAGAUUUUACUCUAUUACCUCAAAACCAACCACCAAACUUAAAUGUACCAUAUAAUCUAGAAAAACAGCCCAAUAUCGAAUAUAAUUUUAUGGAAGAUAAUUAUAUUGACUAUUCUUCUGAAUCUGAACCUGAAGAUGAAGAAGAUGAAGAAUUUAGUGAUGAAGAAGAAAACCGUCUGAUAGAACAAAUCAGGCUAAAAAGACAAUUAAGAUCUGAAAAAGAUAAAAAAUUAGGAUAUACUAAGCAAGAUGACAGGUUUAUCUAUAACCUAAGAGACGAAAUAAGAGAAAUAAACUUAGCAGAGGAAGGAGAAGGAUCUAAUCCUCCUGAAACACAGACUCCUCCACCAUAUCAUAUUGAACAUCCAUUAAACACUCCUCCAGCUCCACAGAGACCUCCUCGACCUCAAACAACAAAUCCUGGUUAUUCUCAUAUACCAUACUAUGAUACAGUUAGGAUGCCAGCCGAAACCUACAACACUGGUAAUUUCCCUAGACAUCGCAUCUCCUCAGCCCCAGAAGAGCAAAUCUAUCCUUAUGGUCGCAAUGUUAGAUCUUAUGGCAAAAAAUAUCCUUUUGAAAAUCCUGUUAAUUUACAAGAAGCAGGAUCUGGAAAAAUAUUAAACAUAGCUGCUCAUGACCCCCAAACUUGGGAUUCUAUAAUAGACAUUUGGAAAGGAUUAGUUGUAGCAGAUUAUAUUCGUAACCAACACUACAUGAAUACUGAUAACGCCGAGGAAAUGUAUAAAUAUUUAGAAACCUUUUUAGGAGAAUCUACCAAAGGAAUGUGGGAACAAUAUAAAGUUCAAUAUGAAGAUGAAUUCAGACAUUUAUUAACACUAGGAUGUAAUCCUUGUAAUUUUACAAACAAAGUUCAUUCUCUUAUUACCGGUCAAGACCCUAAUUCUGGCCAAUUGCUACUCCAAAAUCAAGCCCUUAUCAGCCUAGAACAACUUAGUAUUUCUACCUGGUUCCCUAUCAAAGACUUUCUACAAGCAUACUUAUAUUAUGCAAGUAUAAGUGGGAAUGCUUUUAGCCAAGACAUAGGACGAAAAUUAUUCUUAAAACUUCCAGGAGUCCUAGGCAGAGAAAUCCAAGAUAGAUGGGAUACAAUGGAAAAAAAAACUAUAAGGCAAAACCCAGAUACUAAAUGGUCCAUAGGACAAAGAGUAAAAUUCAUAAUGAAUAUACUACAAGAGAAAUGUGCCAACAUACAAAUCACAAAACAACUCAAAGACAAUGAAUACUCUUUCUGUAAAAGUGUUGUGUAUACUCCCCAACAGUAUAGAAACCCAUUUUAUGAAACUCCAAAGAAAAAAUAUAAACAUUAUAUCCCUCAAUACAAAGGAUAUAAGACAAGAAUGAAAUAUUCCUUACGACGAUCAAAAGCCAAAAAACCCUAUUUAAAUAAAGAUAACCAUGUUAGAAAAUAUAAAUCAGACAGAACUUAUAAAAGCAAACUUCUCUGUUAUACAUGUAAUAGUCCAGGGCAUUUUGCAAAUGCAUGUCCAAGAAGACAACAUAAAAAACCGAAAUGCUUUACUUAUAGAAGAUACUGGCGAAACCUUGUUAGCAGUAGAUGAAUUUGUCUCAGACAUUGAAACUAUUUACUCCAUUGAAAAUAAUAUAGUUUACGAGAAAGAGAGUGAAAGAGAAUCCUCCUCUGAUGAAGACAAUAAUAACUGUAAUACUUUUAUCUCAAAUAUGAUUGAAGGUACUAAGACAACAAAGCAAAAAGAACAUACAUAUUUUUUUGAAUCUGCAAUGAUAUUUGAAGACCCUGACGAAAAUACAUCCAUAACCUCCCCGCUAGAGGAUAAAACAUGGAAUUCGUUUUAUGAUAGUACCACAAUUCUUUUUGAGANGAUAAAACUUACAUCACAACGCUAGAAGGUUUCCCUUCCGGGACUUCCCGGGGGGAAAAAAGGACUUGUUUGUACAGACUCUUCACUCCAGAUUGCAGUUGAUAAAAAGAUAAAUUUUUACAGGAGGGGGAGAAAAAUAAAAGCCAUUGGAUUUAUUUGUGGAGCUAGGAUGCUAUAUCUAACAAGAUGAGAGCUUCAUUCUUCACUUGUUGUCGAAAUGAUCUUCCUUUAAGCUUCAGCGCAAUUUUUACAUAAGGCAGGGGCUAAGUGGGAUUUUCUCUUGCUCUGCUUCCUUGCUCACCAUGCUUCAAGAGGAGGAGGAAGGCUUCCUUUUAUAAGAAAAAGGAAGAGUGGUUUUGGAGGAGAAAACUGCGGCGGCACCUGGUUUUCAAAAAAACCGCGGCUACGCAGGUUGAGGUAAUGGAAGGAAUGAUGACGCGACAUGAUGACGUGGGCCCACAGGCUUUUCAAAAAAAACCUCAGGCGUAGUGGUUUUGGAUGGUCAUCAUUGGCAUGACUUUUUGAAAAUUCGGUGGACCUGGUGCAUCAGUGAUGUCCACGUGUUGCUUUAAUAUUUGUCCAGAUGGAGGCCAUUUGUUGAUUCUUCAUUGGCUUGGUGGGGGCCAAAUAUUGCUCUGAAAUUUGGUGGUGUCUGUUUGGGAACAGACUUUGGAACCUUGCUUUUGGUGGUGGAGUUGGAUCACAAGGUGGUUAAAGAACAGAAAUUAAAGCCCUAAACUAAAAAACCCUUAUUUUUGCCUGUGAAGGAAUCACAGCGGGUUGAUUUCUUUUUUCUUUUUUCUUUUUCUGAUUUUUUCUUUUUUUUCUUGAUUUUUUCUUCUUUUUUGUUCUUUUUUCAUUUUUCAAUUUUUUCUUUGGUUUUUUCAUUUCCAGAUUCUUUCUUCUUCUUUUGAUAUUUCCACUUUUUUCUGGAAAUUUUCUGUUUUUUCUCCUUUUUUUAGCAGUGUCCGAAUACGCGGACUACAUGAAAAGGCAUAAUUGAAAAACAGAUGCAGAACUGAAGGAAAUAUAUACAAAUAUGUACAAAACAUCAGAACCAGGCGGCUAAGCAAUUUCCCCUAAAUUGUCAAUUUUGGGAGAAGGUGCUUCUAGUAUCAUGGGAUCUUCUUGUUUUUCUUCAGUGUUUCCUAUACUAGGGUGUGGUAAUGGUUCUGAAGAGGGCUUAGUUCUUGGAAAUGGUUUAGCAAUUGGCUGUGGAGGUUUUUUGUGGAAAGCUUUUUGUGGUGGAAAAGGUGCUGAUGAUAGUGGAAGCGGUUUUACUGAGGUGGAUGGAUGGACUACUGGGAUUAGUGGGUUUUGAAAAGGAGCAUUUAUGUUGGUAAUUGGGGGAAAGACCAAACUUGGUGUUAUUGUCAUUAUAGGAGGAUACUUUGGAGGAGGAUAAGAGGAAGAUUGAGGUAGAGAUACAAUACCUUGUUGUGAAGGAUGCUUGAGGUCUCUGAUCUGAUGUUCAAGGAUUGCAAUUCUUUGUAGAUUUUUCUGAUCCUUUGUUCUUAAGUCAUCGCAAAUGGUAUUCAGCUUCUGAAGCUGUGUUGCCAUUGUUGAGCAGUUUUCACAGAAACUAUUUUUCUCAAGAUUGUGGGUGGAUGUAGAGGCUUGGAUAUGUGGAGAGGAGCGAAUAUUGGGAGAAAUAAAAAAGUUUGGGCCAAAGUGGGUGCGAGCAGUGUCUAAGGCUUCGGAGAUAGAAUGAAAACCUUUGUAGAGUGGUUGGGAAAAAUGCCAAUUUUAAAACCUUGAAAUACUACAUAGUAAGGAAACUUAUUUAUUUAUUUAUUUAUUUAUUUAUUUAUUUUUUUUUUUUUAUAAGUUAAGAGUUCCAAUUUGGAUUUAUAAUAAAAGGGAAAAAAGGCAUCAGGUUGUAACAUAGGUGGUGACAUAAGAUUCUAGUAAGUUUAUAUUGAUAAUCUAAACUAUAAUCUUGGAGGUUGAGUUUGUCCAAAANGAAUUCGUUUUAUGAUAGUACCACAAUUCUUUUUGAGAGAGUACAAACUCUAGAACAAGAACUGAACCCUAAUUGGGAAUUAGCUGCCCGAGACUAUAAAAUCCAAUUAUUAAGACAAAGAGCACAAGAAAGAAUAGACAAACGAAUAUGGAAAAUAGCUAUGGAAUUACAAGAUCAGAGUGGAUCAAGAGUAAGAGAAAUAAUGGAAUAUGAACGCAAGCAAAGGUUAUUAGACACUAAAGACCAAAAUAAAAUUAUUCAAGAUAUUAGGAUUCUGUUCGAUGAUCUUUCCGAACAGGAAGAGAUUAUAAAAGACAUCAGACAUCUCUUUGACAUAUCCCAACCCUCAUUUCAUGACUCUACUAUUUAUGUUAUGACCCUUAUGAAUUUAAAUGAAGAAUGCAGCCAUGAUUGGCAAGAAAGACAAGGAUAUGACCAUAGACCUUGCACAUACUGUAAUUUCUUUCCCGAACGAAAAUUUAGAUGUAAAUGUCGCUUAUGUAAAAUUGAAGCAUGUUCAAUUUGCUUAAACAAAAAGUUUAAUAGACAGAUUACAAAUAUAGAACCUAAAAAGACUUUUGAAAUUGAACAUUUAAAUGCCCAUGAAAAACGAAUUAUAGCUUUAGAAGCCAGAGUUAGCCUUCUGGAAAAACAAGACAAUCCAAGAAAAAACAAAGAAAUCACAAACAAAGGAAAAGGAAUAGAGAUCCGUGAAAAUAUGACAGCACUAUCUGAAUACUAUGAAGAAGAAAACUUAAGAGUAUAUGAAGAUAACUAUAUUUGCAAUGAAGGAUUAAACCUACGAAGCCUAAUUGUUCCAUGUAAAAUACAAAUAGGAAACAAAGACUUUGAAACAGAAGCAGUCAUAGACACUGGCUGUACAACAUGUCUAAUACACACAGAUUUAGUCCCUUUAAAUUAUCGAAAAACAGCAAAGGAACCAACAAAAGGAAUCCAAAUGGACGGUACUGCCCAUAAAUAUACACAGUAUGUUUCUAAUGCAAAAAUUAGUUUCUUAGAUACAUGCAAUACAUUCAAUGAAACUUAUACCCUCCCCAGAGUCUGGUUACGAAAAAUGAAAAUAAAUGCAGACUUUGUAUUAGGUUUAAAUUUCAUGCUCCACUUUUUAGGCGGAAUAAGUAUCAAUAGAGAUUAUGUUAAAUUCUACAAACAUGUCACAAUGACUCCAGUACAAAAGAAAGCAAAGAAACCCUUAAAAGACAGAAUAGAUUGCUGUGACAAUUGCUCUAAAGGAGAACCUUGUUCUCUAGAUAAGAUAACAGACGAAACAGACUUAUUAGAAUUUGACACCUGGCAUGAUGAUUUUUCUUAUAAUCUAGAAAAAUUAUUAGACACCAACUCAAUUUGCAUGGAUUAUGACUUUGUAAAUUGGGAAAAAACCCUCUUAAAUAUAGGUUUUAUUAGAAACCAGCAAGACAUAGAUGAAAUAUUACAUAAACUUGACAAAUUAGAAAUUAUGGGAGACAACCCAAUUAAAUAUUGGGAAAACGAUAAAAUAUAUUGUAAACUGGAUAUAAUUAACCCAGAAUAUAUAGUUAGAACUGCCUCUAUAGACUUCACUAACGAAGAAAGAGAACAAUUUAAACUACACAUAAAUGAACUACUUAAGUUAGGUGUUAUAAGAAAAUCGAUAUCUAAACAUAGAUCAACAGCUUUUAUAGUUAUGAAACAUUCUGAGAUAGUACGAGGAAAAAGCAGAAUGGUCAUUAACUACAAAAGACUUAAUGACAAUACAAAAUUCGAUGGCUAUACUAUUCCAGACAAAUCUCAACUAAUAAAUAGUAUACAAGAUAAAAAGAUUUUUAGUAAAUUUGACUGUAAAUCAGGUUUUUGGCAAGUAAAAAUGGACAAAGAGAGUAUAGAAUGGACAGCUUUUACCUGCCCAGAAGGACAUUUUGANUUUGAAUAUUUUUAUGAAAACCGAAAGUAAAGGUAUGGAAUUCUCCUGUGAGAUGGUAAAUAAUGAAAGGAUAAGGAAGGCUUAGGUUUGACAAAGUCUUAUCAUAUAAUGUUAAAAAUGCAAAAUAAUAAAAGGGCUUUUUGCUUUUUUGUUUUUCUUUUGAUUCUAGCCGUGGUUGUAAAUUUAGAGAAAACAAGUACGGUUUGGAGGAGAUUCUAUGAUUAAUUUAUUAAGUAAGUCUAUCUGAGAUUUGGUAUUCUUUUCUAUGACUACUAAAAUUUGUUGAAUGCUGAAAAGGAUGAUUAAAAUGCUUAAAAGAAAUAUGGAUGGUACUAGCAUUAAAAUCUUCGUGGAGGCUGAGGAGGUCGUCUGGAAAGAAUGUCAAAUAGAUGAGGGUAGUGUAUAAGUUCUUUAUCUAGAGUAAGUAGGAUUAAAGAAAGUAAAUCUAGAUACCUAUGAGUUUCAAUGUAAAAUGUUUUUAAGACACGAAAAUGUACUAAAGUCCCGAUAGGAUGAUUAGCGUAAAUAGGAUUGUUAAUAGGAUUAAAAGUGAAAGCGUCUAUGUCAAAAGCGUCUUCGACUGUUACUUCUAAAAAUCUUCGUCUUCCAAUAUGAACAAUGUUGUAUCGCCAGUUAAAUUGUCUUGGGCUGGUGGUAUUAUCACUAUAGUCUGAACUGUCAUCACUAUUGUUAUUGUCUUCGUAUUCUUCGUAAUCUGGUAAAAUUUCGUCUUCGUUUGGAUUAGCCAGUGUAUUUAUUAUUGUCGAAAUAUCUGAAAAACAAGAAAAGGGUCUAUUUCCCAAAGCUGAGAUAUAAGUUGUAGGAAAAUAAUUAUUAAGGGGAGUGGAACUCCUAAAGUUAAGGAAUCUAUAAUAAAAGUUUCUAUAUAAUAGGGAGUGUAGAGAAAGUUUAGAAUUGGUUCGAUGAGAUAAUAUAAGCACACUAUAAGAAAUCUAAAUAUAGAUUCGAUUAAUAAAUAUAAUGCUAUGUCUUUAUCCAGUUUGAAAAAUGUUAAAUAGGUUGAAAAAUGUUAAAUUAUUAUUUUCUUCCUAUAUAUUGAAAAGGCCAAGUAAUAAGGUAUCGGUCAAAAGUUUCCCAAUAUAUUAUUAAUAUGUCUAAAAUAUUGUAUAUGAUGUCUUCUGGAAAUCCUAACAGAAAUAAUGUUAAAAUAAAAGUUGUCAAGGAAAAAGGUUGAUCGAUGAUAUUACAAAAAAGUUGGUCUGUAUUAUUAUCCGGUGCUUUCCUUUUUGGCAUAAAAAAGUUUUACUAUUUAUUAAAUAUGUGGUUGCAUUGAGGACUUUAGUUAAGAAAAUUUAUUUUCUUUUCUUUUCUCUGUCUUGCUUAAGAAGAAAGCGAGGCUGUUGAAUUGAUUGAAAAAAGAUAAUUAAUAUGGUGUAGCUUUAAGAAAGGAAACUAAAUGUCUUAUAGCUAAAUUAAGAGUAUAAGUGUAUAAUUAAAAGUCUUUGCUAAUUGUAACCAAGAAAGUCUUAGUCUACCAAGAAUGUCUUAGUUUACCAAGAAAGUCUUAGCUCUGAUACCAAGAGGAAACAAGAAAGUCUUAGCUCUGAUACCAAGAAUGUCUAAUUUUAACUUUAUCUUUCCUCCUCCUCUUGAAGGAUGGUGAGCAAGGAAGCAGAGCAAGAGAAAAUCCCACUUAGCCCCUGCCUUAUGUAAAAAUUGCGCUGAAGUUUAAAGGAAGAUCAUUUCGACGACAAGUGAAGAAUGAAGCUCUCAUCUUGUUAGAUAUAGCAUCCUAGCUCCACAAAUAAAUCCAAUGGCUUUUAUUUUCCUGUCCUUCCUGUAAAAAUUUAUCUUUUCAACAACUGCAAUCUGGAGUGAAGAGUCUGUACAAACAAGUCCUUNUUAGUUUCUGUGAAAACUGCUCAACAAUGGCAACACAGCUCCAAAAACUGAAUACUAUUUGUGAUGACUUGAGAACAAAGGAUCAGAAAAAUAUUCAAAGAAUUGCUGUUCUGGAACAACAGAUCAAAGACCUCAAGAACCCCUCACAACAAGGUAUUGUAUCUCUACCUCAAUCUUCCUCUUAUCCUCCUUCAAAGUAUCCUCCUAUAAUGACAACUACACCUAGUUUGGUCUUUCCUCCUAUGACCGACAUAAAUACUCCAUUUCAAUUUACUCCAUUUCAAAACCCACUAAUCCCAGUAGUCCAUCCCUCUAUCUCAGUAAAACCUUUUUUAUCCUCAGCACCACAAAAGCCUACCCUCAAAAGAUAUCCACAGCCAAUUGCCAAACCUUUCCGGCAAAUUGAACCCUCUUCAGAACCAUUACCAUACCCUAGUAUAUGAAACACUGAAGAAAAACAAGGAAAUCCUAUGAUAAUAGAAGCAUCUU